ACCCCGGCUCCUUGGGAUAGAUGGGGAAGCUGAGGCCCAGAAGGGGGCUGAGACCACCUCCCAGUUUCCCCAGUGAGGUGGCGCCUGAGCCACGGCCAGGCCCGGCCUCCUUCCACCCGGCCCUGCUGUGCGCGCGGCGGGUGCUGACCUGGCGAGGCCGGACAGGGGACCAGGUCGGGGUGACCGUCACUGACACCUGGACAGUCCUCGUUGUGUUCGGGGUGGGAAGCCCACGGGGAAGAGUGUAUCACAGCCAUUGGGAACUUUCUUCACCCAUCAAAGCCUCAGGGCUGAAGCAUCCUGAACAAGAACUCAGGAGAGUGAAAGAAACAGUUACCUGUCGGCUGCAGCUGGUACCAGCUCCCCACCCCGUACAGAGACCGAAGCGUCCUCUCUCUCCCCAUCACCCAGCACCAGACUCUGCCCCGCGACCUCAGCCUGCACCUGCUUCCUGGCUCCAUCCAGCCUUCCAGCCUCACUAGAUCAUCAUGGGCCACUGGCCAACACACAGGGCAGUGCCGAGCCCAGGCCGUGGUCACACAUGGCUGGGUUAGUAGCUGAAAACAUUGUUUUUCACUGGCCUCACAGUAAUGGCACCUGCCCCCAUUUUCUGUGAUUGAAUUUUUGGAUCCUGCUACCAGGUUAUGAUAGAUUUUAUGGUAUGUCUCAAGAUAUUGAGAUAAAGGUAAUAAAACAGCUAUAAAGUCCUGG
This 711-nucleotide long non-coding RNA is filed under the name Homo sapiens (human). RNAcentral describes it as "HSALNT0350646". The record is from RNAcentral. Lineage: Eukaryota; Metazoa; Chordata; Mammalia; Primates; Hominidae.